Molecule: ribosomal RNA, 253 nt
Filed under: uncultured bacterium
Lineage: Bacteria
Description: partial 16S ribosomal RNA
Rfam family: Bacterial small subunit ribosomal RNA
Source: RNAcentral
UACAGAGGUCUCAAGCGUUGUUCGGAUUCAUUGGGCGUAAAGGGCGCGUAGGCGGCGCGGUAAGUCGGGUGUGAAAUCUCGGAGCUUAACUCCGAAACUGCAUUCGAUACUGCCGUGCUUGAGGACUGGAGAGGAGACUGGAAUUUACGGUGUAGCGGUGAAAUGCGUAGAUAUCGUAAGGAAGACCAGUGGCGAAGGCGGGUCUCUGGACAGUUCCUGACGCUGAGGCACGAAGGCCAGGGGAGCAAACGGG